AUGCACUCCGUUCUCCAACUCCUGAAAUACCUCUGCAGUUGCUGGAGAAAAGGGCCCGAAGGUCACCGUUUUCAGAUAGAAGCUGCCAUACCUGCGCCCGGCAAGGUCUCCUUGUCCCGCCGGGGCCGGUGAGGCUCUGGGGGCUUUGCCCCCGCCGGGCAGCUGGUAGAGAAGAGACGUGUUUCACCUCCCUGAUGGUCUGGACCAGUCUGGAAGAGAUGGAGACGCUGUGGCCAAGUGCAGUCUCUCUCGGGGUCUCUCCCCGCCCGGGUGGACACGGCGCUCCCUCCUCUGUCCCUGGGGUUUAGCAGCCGCUCUGGGCAGCCAUGCCGCCCUCGCCUGCGUCCUGCGGCCGUCCCGAGGUGUCACGCUGUCAACAACACAAAGUCGU
This 391-nucleotide long non-coding RNA is filed under the name Homo sapiens (human). RNAcentral's name for it is "non-protein coding lnc-PRDM9-24:1". Lineage: Eukaryota; Metazoa; Chordata; Mammalia; Primates; Hominidae. The record is from RNAcentral.